UACGGAGGAUGCAAGCGUUAUCCGGAUUUAUUGGGUUUAAAGGGUGCGCAGGUUGUUUGAUAAGUCAGUGGUGAAAGUCUGUCGCUUAACGGUAGGAUUGCCAUUGAUACUGUUGGACUUGAAUAUGGAUGAGGUAGGCGGAAUGUGUAGUGUAGCGGUGAAAUGCAUAGAUAUUACACAGAACACCGAUUUCGAAGGCAGCUUACUAAUCCAUCAUUGACGCUGAGGCACGAAAGCGUGGGGAUCAAACAGGA
RNAcentral lists this ribosomal RNA (254 nucleotides) under uncultured prokaryote. Its description in RNAcentral is "partial 16S ribosomal RNA". It matches the Rfam family "Bacterial small subunit ribosomal RNA", at positions 524 to 777 of the family's 1533-position model. The record is from RNAcentral.